UACGUAGGGUGCAAGCGUUGUCCGGAAUUAUUGGGCGUAAAGAGCUCGUAGGCGGUCUGUUGCGUCUGCUGUGAAAACUCAGGGCUUAACCCUGAGCUUGCAGUGGGUACGGGCAGACUAGAGUGCGGUAGGGGAGACUGGAAUUCCUGGUGUAGCGGUGAAAUGCGCAGAUAUCAGGAGGAACACCGGUGGCGAAGGCGGGUCUCUGGGCCGUAACUGACGCUGAGGAGCGAAAGCGUGGGGAGCAAACAGG
RNAcentral lists this ribosomal RNA (253 nucleotides) under uncultured bacterium. RNAcentral describes it as "partial 16S ribosomal RNA". It matches the Rfam family "Bacterial small subunit ribosomal RNA", at positions 524 to 776 of the family's 1533-position model. The record is from RNAcentral.